Molecule: long non-coding RNA, 2368 nt
Filed under: Carassius auratus (goldfish)
Lineage: Eukaryota; Metazoa; Chordata; Actinopteri; Cypriniformes; Cyprinidae
Description: lncRNA (ENSCARG00000059425.1)
Source: RNAcentral
AUCCACGCUACCUGAAAGAAGGCCGCCUUCUGAAUCCAACGAUACCGGUUAUGUGCACAUCGGACCUACGCUUCAAAAGAUACGGACAGAUCCACGCUACCUGAAAGAAGGCCGCCUUCUGAAUCCAACGAUACCAGUUAUGUGCACAUCGGACCUACGCUUCAAAAGAUACGGACAGCUCACUGGCUCUGCUUCGGUGACAUCACUGAAGUUUCACAUCUGACCCGGACCCUCACUUACUUCGAGUCCUUUUGCAAUGGCUGAACAAGCUGAGAGGAGAAAAGCUGACCGGCGCUUCACUGCUUGGUUUGCCACAGACCGCAGGAGAACCUACCUGUCCACCUGGCGAGAAACAGCACGCCGGAACAAAUAGCCUCAGAGAACCUCGCAGGAGAACUUCUGAACCGUGGCUUCUUCGUGACAGACCUGCCCCUGGGAGCCCGGAGCCGGAGGUUUGGCGGAGGAGGCUGAUGACCCGUCCUGUCUUCAUGAAAAAUAAGUGUACUCUGACCGUGCAACACACGUGCGAAACACAAAAAGCACCACGAGAGGAUCCAUGCUACCUGAAAGAAGGCCGCCUUCUGAAUCCAACGAUACCGGUUAUGUGCACAUCGGACCUACGCUUCAAAAGAUACGGACAGAUCCACGCUACCUGAAAGAAGGCCGCCUUCUGAAUCCAACGAUACCAGUUAUGUGCACAUCGGACCUACGCUUCAAAAGAUACGGACAGGUAAGCUUUGGCCAAUCAGAUCGCAUAUGCUAACGAGGGUGGAAUUAAUGAGGGUGAAACUCGUUUUUAUCUAUAUACCUAGCUGCAACUGACCCCAAACUAGCCCCUAAACCUUAACCCUCAAAACUGCUAGCCUUAGCCCCAAACAAAACUGCUAGCCUUAGCCCCACUGACCGUAACCCACUGACCCCUGGCCCCACCGUUUUUAAACGUGCCAGUCCCUAGACUCUGUAAACCUUUAUCAACCAGACGCUUCAUCAAAUUCUGUACAGAAAUAUCAUAAAACUAAUAUCAUAUUCUCCAGGAUAUAACCCUUGGCUUCUCGGUCGCCCUCUCCUGGAUAAAACUGUGAAUAGCCAUGUGUAAAAAACUGAUUAGGAUUCCAAUAUUUUAGCAGGAUUUGACACUCCAGGCGGAGCUCUUGAGCGGAUGACUUCACUCAAAGACAUCUUUCCAGUCUAAUUUUAAUGAUGCACUCUCUCUCUCUUUCACAAACACACACAUACACUCCUGUGCACACUCACACGCACGUGUGCACACUCACACGCAUAUGCAGUCAAAACACACAGACGCACACGAACUGGCUGGAAAACUAUUUUUAUUCAGGCUAGUGAUACCUUGUUCCUAAAAAGACAAAUGAUUUGACGGGUUAUUUCGUUUGGAUGUAUUUCUUGUUUUUAUCGAUGACUGGCUUCCUUUUUGUCACGCUUUAGACUGAUGUACGGUCACAUUGGAUUUGAAAACGACAUCCUUUCUUCCAUAGAUCCACGCUACCUGAAAGAAGGCCGCCUUCUGAAUCCAACGAUACCAGUUAUGUGCACAUCGGACCUACGCUUCAAAAGAUACGGACAGGUAAGCUUUGGCCAAUCAGAUCGCAUAUGCUAACGAGGGUGGAAUUAAUGAGGGUGAAACUCGUUUUUAUCUAUAUACCUAGCUGCAACUGACCCCAAACUAGCCCCUAAACCUUAACCCUCAAAACUGCUAGCCUUAGCCCCAAACAAAACUGCUAGCCUUAGCCCCACUGACCGUAACCCACUGACCCCUGGCCCCACCGUUUUUAAACGUGCCAGUCCCUAGACUCUGUAAACCUUUAUCAACCAGACGCUUCAUCAAAUUCUGUACAGAAAUAUCAUAAAACUAAUAUCAUAUUCUCCAGGAUAUAACCCUUGGCUUCUCGGUCGCCCUCUCCUGGAUAAAACUGUGAAUAGCCAUGUGUAAAAAACUGAUUAGGAUUCCAAUAUUUUAGCAGGAUUUGACACUCCAGGCGGAGCUCUUGAGCGGAUGACUUCACUCAAAGACAUCUUUCCAGUCUAAUUUUAAUGAUGCACUCUCUCUCUCUUUCACAAACACACACAUACACUCCUGUGCACACUCACACGCACGUGUGCACACUCACACGCAUAUGCAGUCAAAACACACAGACGCACACGAACUGGCUGGAAAACUAUUUUUAUUCAGGCUAGUGAUACCUUGUUCCUAAAAAGACAAAUGAUUUCACGGGUUAUUUCGUUUGGAUGUAUUUCUUGUUUUUAUCGAUGACUGGCUUCCUUUUUGUCACGCUUUAGACUGAUGUACGGUCACAUUGGAUUUGAAAACGACAUCCUUUCUUCCAUAGAUCCACGCUACCUGAAAGAAGGC